AGCGAACGCUGGCGGCAGGCCUAACACAUGCAAGUCGAACGAACCUUUCGGGGUUAGUGGCGGACGGGUGAGUAACACGUGGGAACGUGCCUUUAGGUUCGGAAUAACUCAGGGAAACUUGUGCUAAUACCGAAUGUGCCCUUCGGGGGAAAGAUUUAUCGCCUUUAGAGCGGCCCGCGUCUGAUUAGCUAGUUGGUUGAGGUAAUGGCUCACCAAGGCGACGAUCAGGAGCUGGUCUGAGAGGAUGAUCAGCCACAUUGGGACUGAGACACGGCCCAAACUCCUACGGGAGGCAGCAGUGGGGAAUCUUGCGCAAUGGGCGAAAGCCUGACGCAGCCAUGCCGCGUGAAUGAUGAAGGUCUUAGGAUUGUAAAAUUCUUUCACCGGGGACGAUAAUGACGGUACCCGGAGAAGAAGCCCCGGCUAACUUCGUG
RNAcentral lists this ribosomal RNA (434 nucleotides) under uncultured bacterium. Its description in RNAcentral is "partial 16S ribosomal RNA". It matches the Rfam family "Bacterial small subunit ribosomal RNA", at positions 29 to 507 of the family's 1533-position model. The record is from RNAcentral.